CUGCUGCCUAUAACUGUGUCACACGCUCACUCUAAAUCGGCACAAGAUUUCUCCAACAGACCGAACACUAAAUCACAAAUACUAAUCAAAAGAAAAGAAUAAAGUAGGAAGGGGCAGAAACUGGAGAUAAAAGAGAAUUCACAAGUUACAGGGAACUAAAGUGUAUUAUUAAAAAGUCCCGCAAGUACAAACAUGAAUCUCUUUUGGCGCCAUAACAGCUUUGACCUCAGUCCCCAGUCACAAGGUUUCUAAAGUGCUGGGACUCACAAAGAACGCAGGAUCUCCAUCAGCGACUUAAAGUCACGGCUGUAAGUUGGAGAAAAAGCACCAUUUAAAAAAGAAUUGGUCUUCAAGGAACAAUAGGGCCCUGCACAGCUCUAGAGAGGGCACUCAGCAGGCCAAGGAAUACAACAGCCCUGCAGGCCAAAAUAUUGAACAGGAGCCACCACAUACAAGAUCCCUCGCAUUCUGAUGACUGCUCUCACGUUCCUCUGAGCUCCACAUCAUACCUGAAGCCAAUCCGACUUGCUUUACCUGAGCACAGGUGAGUUACCUGGAUACAGGAAGGGCUCUGGGACCCGAUAGAACUGAAGACUCAGCAGCAGUUACAGCGAAAACAAGACACAGACUCGUAAAUCAGGCCAGGUUGACGGUGGGGAUCGAGGACGACAAGCUCCAUCUCCAGUUGUGUGGGGUCCACGUGGCCUGGCACAGACGGGCAGCAGGAGACGCCUGGGUUGGUGGAUGUGCUGUAACGUUGUGGUGCCAUGAAUGCACGGCUGCAGGUACAGCCCAGUGCCCACUGUCUCCCAGAGAAACCUCCAUGCCCUGGAGUUGGAACACGCUGGUGCUAUGGAUGAUAUGAACCCGCUGUGUCCACUGGCUCUCUGGAUGAUUAGAACAUACUGUCUACUGGUGCUCUGGAUAAUAUGAACACACAGUCCACUGGCCCUCUGGAUGUUUUCAAGAGGGAGUUAGAUUUAGCUCUUAGGGCUAACGGAAUCAGGGGAUAUGGGGAGAAAGCCCGAACGGGGUACUGAUUUUGGAUGAUCAAACAUGAUCAUAUUGAAUGACGGAACUACCUCAAAGGGCCGAAUGGUCUACUCCUGCACCUAUAUUUCUAUGUUUCUAUGAUGUGAACGCUUGGUGUCCACUGCUCUCUGGAUGUCUCCUGGGACCAUAGAGUCAUAGAGUGAUACAGCGUGGAAACAGGCCCUUCGGCCCAACUUGCCCACACCGGCCAACAUGUCCCAUCAUGUCCCACCUGCCCGCGUUUGGCCCAUAUCCCUCUAAACCUGUCCUAUCCAUGUACCUGUCCAUAAUAUAUCUUAAACUUUGCGAUAGUCCCUGCCUCAACUCCCUCAUCCGGCAGCUCGUU
This is a long non-coding RNA of Amblyraja radiata (thorny skate), 1378 nucleotides long. RefSeq lists it as uncharacterized. Lineage: Eukaryota; Metazoa; Chordata; Chondrichthyes; Rajiformes; Rajidae. The transcript has 4 exons. The record is from RefSeq and is a predicted model, not a curated record.